RNAcentral lists this long non-coding RNA (999 nucleotides) under Arabidopsis lyrata. Its description in RNAcentral is "long non-coding RNA (ALYR_LNC000301)". The record is from RNAcentral. Lineage: Eukaryota; Viridiplantae; Streptophyta; Magnoliopsida; Brassicales; Brassicaceae.
GGAGUCCAAUAUGACAAGAUUGGUGUGUAUGACUGAGUAUGAGAAAGAGAAAUGCAACCCGGAUCCUGGUUGUUAAAGUACCGUAGAUGCAAAACAAAAAAAACUCAUAGGGACUUCGUCCUCACUUACAAAACUUGUGAAAGCCAUAAUAAGCUUGUGUAGGGUUCUUGGAGUCCAAUAUGACAAGACUGGUGUGUAUGACUGAGUAUAAGAAAGAUAAAAGCAACCCGGAUCCUGGUUGCUAAAGUAGAGUAGAUGCAAAACAAAAAAAACUCAUAGGGACUUCGUCCUCACUUACAAAACUUGUGAAAGCCAUAAUAAGCUUGUGUAGGGUUCUUGGAGUCCAAUAUGACAAGACUGGUGUGUAUGACUGAGUAUAAGAAAGAUAAAUGCAACCCGGAUCCUUGUUGUUAAAGUAGAGUAGAUGCAAAACAAAAAAAACUCAUAGGGAAUUCGUCCUCCCUUACAAAACUUGGGGAAGCCAUAAUAAGCUUGUGUAGGCUUCUUGGAGUCCAAUAUGACAAGAUUGGUGUGUAUGACUGAGUAUGAGGAAGAGAAAUGCAUCCCGGAUCCUGGUUGUUAAAGUACCGUAGAUGCAAAACAAAAAAAACUCAUAGGGACUUCGUCCUCACUUACAAAACUUGUGAAAGCCAUAAUAACCUUGUGUAGGGUUCUUUGAGUCCAAUAUGACAAGAUUGGUGUGUAUGACUGAGUAUAAGAAAGAGAAAUGCAACCCGGAUCCUAGUUGUUAAAGUAGCGUAGAUGCAAAACAAAAAAACUCAUAGGGACUUCGUCCUCACUUACAAAACUUGUGGAAACCAUAAUAAGCUUGUGUAGGCUUCUUGGAGUCCAAUAUGACAAGAUUGGUAUGUAUGACUGAGUAUGAGAAAGAGAAAUGCAUCCCGGAUCCUGGUUGUUAAAGUACCGUAGAUGCAAAACAAAAAAAAACUCAUAGGGACUUCGUCCUCACUUACAAAACUAUUGAAAGCCAUAAUAACC